ACACCUACGGGGGGCAGCAGUGGGGAAUAUUGGACAAUGGGGGGAACCCUGAUCCAGCGACGCCGCGUGAGUGAAGAAGUAUUUCGGUAUGUAAAGCUCUAUCAGCAGGGAAGAAAGAAAUGACGGUACCUGACUAAGAAGCCCCGGCUAACUACGUGCCAGCAGCCGCGGUAAUACGUAGGGGGCAAGCGUUAUCCGGAUUUACUGGGCGUAAAGGGAGCGCAGGCGGCACGGCAAGUCCGGUGUGAAAGCCCGGGGCCCAACCCCGGGACUGCACUGGAAACUGCCGGGCUGGAGUGUCGGAG
RNAcentral lists this ribosomal RNA (305 nucleotides) under uncultured bacterium. RNAcentral describes it as "bacterial SSU rRNA". It matches the Rfam family "Bacterial small subunit ribosomal RNA", at positions 335 to 654 of the family's 1533-position model. The record is from RNAcentral.